AUAUCCCUACGGGGGGCAGCAGUGGGGAAUAUUGCACAAUGGGGGAAACCCUGAUGCAGCGACGCCGCGUGAGUGAGGAAGUAUUUCGGUAUGUAAAGCUCUAUCAGCAGGGAAGAAAAUGACGGUACCUGACUAAGAAGCCCCGGCUAACUACGUGCCAGCAGCCGCGGUAAUACGUAGGGGGCAAGCGUUAUCCGGAUUUACUGGGUGUAAAGGGUGCGCAGGCGGCCUGUUAAGUCAGCGGUAAAAGCCCGGGGCUCAACCCCGGCGAGCCGUUGAAACUGGCGGGCUGGAGUUGGCGAGAA
This 305-nucleotide ribosomal RNA is filed under the name uncultured bacterium. RNAcentral's name for it is "bacterial SSU rRNA". It matches the Rfam family "Bacterial small subunit ribosomal RNA", at positions 333 to 656 of the family's 1533-position model. The record is from RNAcentral.